Small nucleolar RNA from Candida albicans SC5314, 82 nucleotides. NCBI's taxonomy places the organism in Eukaryota, Fungi, Ascomycota, Pichiomycetes, Serinales, Debaryomycetaceae. The record is from RefSeq and is a predicted model, not a curated record.
UUUGAAGAUGAAACCAUACCAUUGACUAUGGCUAGCAUUUAUGCAAUGUUGUCUUUCAGUUAACCAUCUUUCGGGACUGAGA